Non-coding RNA from Pantherophis guttatus, 535 nucleotides. NCBI's taxonomy places the organism in Eukaryota, Metazoa, Chordata, Lepidosauria, Squamata, Colubridae. The record is from RefSeq and is a predicted model, not a curated record.
UCCUAUCAGCAUUUGGUUAAGCAGCGUUACCAAUCAGAGUACUGUACCAGGGACACACAAAAAUUGGGAUUCUUUUGCCAUCUUCUACUCAUUUUAAAGUUAAAUCUAAAUGCUGGUGUUGUAAUUUCCUCUCCCAUAAGAGGCAAUAGUUCUGCUCUGACAAGCUUAAGUAACAAGUCCUGUUUGUUCUCAUGCAGAGGUGGACAUGUUCUAGAUCACAUUAACAUCUCUACUCUGCUGAAUUUAUGGCCCGAAUGGACACGGGAGUUUCAUUGCAAACGAGAGUCUUCUAGUCCGAAAAGAUCAAAGCCCACGAGGGACAAGAAGAAGAUGCUGACUGUUUUUAUUCUAAAGAAGGAGAUACGAUGCCUUGGGACUAUAUGUCCCAGAAUUCCCAGGCAGUUGCAGUUCCCAAAUACCUGGAGGUUUCUGGUUGAGAAGUGUUGAUUUAAACUUAGGACAAGCCAAACAAUAAGUCUUCUCUUCUCUGUGUGAUGGAAACUAACAUUCUACUCUACUAAUUAUGCAAAUUUAA